Molecule: long non-coding RNA, 43140 nt
Filed under: Lathyrus oleraceus (garden pea)
Lineage: Eukaryota; Viridiplantae; Streptophyta; Magnoliopsida; Fabales; Fabaceae
Description: Pisum sativum (pea) long non-coding RNA (PSAT_LNC020763)
Source: RNAcentral
CAAUCCUCCUGAUAAAAGUCUCUGUUCUCAGUGUUGAGGCUGCCAGAGGAAAGUAGACUUUCGGUAAACAUCACGACGCACUAGCUGGUAUCGCCAUAUCAUACGCUAACCGAUGUUGAGAAGAAGAUUUUGCUCAAAAAGUACAUUGUCCAAAAACGCAGCUUCCUAGAAUCUGGAUGACGGAUCAUAUUGCAAAAGCAUCAUGGAUUAAAAAGUGGACAAGUUGACGGGAUUAUCCGGCCAAGUGAAAGUACUAGCAUACGCAUAACCUACAAGACCGGGUGCAAACCAUUAGCAAGUUUUAUUAUGGUAUUAUAUCCAUAAAUCUAAUAGCACUACCCGUGGAUGUUAGUUUGUUACAAGCAAGAAUUGAUGAUGUACAAGAUAAUCCAUAAAUCCUAAUAACAUCACAUUUGGUUUGGAGAGUUUCUCACUUUAAAUUAGUAUCAACACACAACAAAUCGAGAUGCAAAUACGUGAUUGAGCACGGUCAAAUGACUCGAUAACAUAACUCAAGUCACUACACAUUACCAACAAAAGUGGCCUGAUGAAGACGAAGGAUGAACACAGCAAGUUGCGCCGGCUGCAAAACAGGAACCUGCGGCGUAACGAUCACGGACAGUGUUCUGUAUUUGAGACCAUGAUAGGAUGACACUAAGCAGGAUAUUUCGAAAAGUUUAGGAUGCUACCACAACUUGGGAAGGGUUGGACCUACAAAUCAUCAAAACCCAUGGUUUAUUAACUAUCAUCACUUCCUGAAGUGUUAAACAAAAACUAAGAGGCAUGAUACAAAUCCAGCCAUUCAGUAAAAGCUUAAUAAAGGAGUCAACAAAAAUAAGCCACAUCUUUGGAGGAUUACGCUACAGAUAAAAUAGAUUGGAUCUAAACAAAAACACAAAUCAAAGGUUUGUGAUCGAUCCCCACAAAAUCUGAGGGAAAAAUUCUCUCUAACGGAUUGAUCAUAUCCAAGAUUUUCCAGCUCAUGAAAGAUAAAGACGGAAGAGCCUCGUACAAAGACUCUAUAUAAAGACCAUUUGAUCAUUAAAGCAGGGAUCCUUUCGCCAAGCACCGUUACCCUGCCAAAAUCUCGUACCGACCCAUACCCAAAGCUCAAAAUACAGAAGGUUACUCAGAGUUUAUCCCUAAAACUCUGAGUAAGUCGGGCUAAGCCCUUACUAAACAAAGGCACGCACCAUAUCGGUAAAGAGGAAUAGAAACGGAGAGGAUUCGAAGUACACGAAGCAAAGUGGAUAGCUUACCAGGUAUACUCGUGGCCAAUGGAUAUGCGUCAAUAGUUGUGCGAAUCAUCUUCUCUGUUUGUUUCAAACGUCAUAGCAUUUGCAUAGAUUUGUUGCUUCUAUUUUGAUUUGUCAAUUUCUUGGUUAUUGGUGGUGGAUAUAAAAAGUGGCAUUAGAAGCUUUUAUACCUUGGUUACCUGAACCUCACAUCCGUUAUGGAGAGAAUAGGGUGCGGAGGAAUCAGAUCGGGAUUUAGAAACAGGAUAGGUUGGCGUUCGAUGUUGUUUUGGGAAUUAGGUAGUUAAAUUUUUGUGAAUCGAAGGCUACGUAAGGGUGAACAUCGAAGAGUGGGGUUCAUCGCCUUCUUUCUUCUUUUUGCUUUCUUAUUUUUUUUUAGCUUAAAAGUUCAGGGUGUGUGUUUAAGGUGGAAGGAAGGAUCUGUUGCAAUGCAUAUGUUGAUUUAAGUUUUUUUAUUCCCCAUAAAGUCCAUUAAAUUUGGUCAUUGGAUUGAUAAGACCUGGGUUGGACAAAGCAUGUACAAUUUAUAUUUUCAAAGUUUAGCUUUAUUGGCAUUAACGCUAUUUUAAUGGCCAACGGUGGAGAAUCCCAAAAGGGCCACAUGAUCCUUUCUGAUGUUCCAUUGUAUGACUUUCCCUUGCCUUGCCACGUGGGUGCUUUAAGAAGAUGAAAGGGCACAAGCUGCCCUUAGGUCUCUUCGUCUAGUUCGCUGGAUGCGGCUCUUGUUGGGCUAGGGAGAGGUUGGGCUUAGGGCCCACGAUGACUCUUUUUUUUUUCUUUUUUUUGUUAUUAUUGCGAGAAGUGUUUGGGCCUUAGGGCCCAUUCUGAAUCUUUGAGGUUUUUUAAGGCCUCCUUCGGGCUUCUACAGUUUGGUACUUUGGGACUUCACCUCUUUUAUUUCCCAUACACCCUGAUUCAUCUCAUUUGGUUUAGGUGUUAUUUUUAAAUACUUUAAUUUAAUGUCAAGGUAACUAUGAUUAAAAAAUAACGACGGUAAAAAUGUUUAUAAGCUUUAUUCCUAUAUGUUUUUUGUUAGAACACUAUAAUUAAUCAAAUAGGAGAUUAAGUAUUAAUAUUAGUAAAUAUUUCCUUUCCUAAAAUGAGGUUAAUCUUGUUCCAAUACCAAAUAGGCUUUCUCAAGACAUGUUAACCCUAAUUCACCGUGUUUAAUUAAUAUUCUCUAAAAAAAAUAUUUUAAAUUAAUUUUUGGAUGAAAAGGAGAAUAGUAAGCUUUCGUUUCACUAUCUCUCGAUUAUUCGGAUAAUUGGCGUUCGCCAUAUUGCCCGAAUUUUCGUCAUUCAAAUUAAAACCCUAAAACUCCAUAAAAUAAAAAUCACUUCUCCAAAUUAAUUAAAUUCUAAAAGCUUGGUAUUAAUAAUUAAUUCUUGGAUGAAAAGGAGAAUAGUGAGCAUCCGCUUCACUAUCUCUCGAUUGUUCGAAUAAUUGGCGUUCGCCAUAUUGCUUGGAUUUUCGUCAUUCAAAUAAAAUCUUAAAAAGCCUACAAGGCACAAAUCAUCUUUCUAAAUUAAUGUAAUACUAAAAAUAGAUUUAAUUUUAAACUUGGGAUGAAAAAGAAUAUAGAAAGCAUCCACUUCAUUAUUUCUCAAUUACUCGAACGAUUGGCGUACACCAUAUUGCUCUAAUUCUUGUCAUCCGAUUAAAACUUUAAUCGUACAAAUUCAAAUUAUUUUCCCAAAUAAAAUAUAAUUUCAAAAACUUUUUUUUUAUAAAACCUUGGACGAAAAAGAUAGGAGGCGUUCGCCUCACCAUCUCUCGAAUAAUUGAAUGAUUGGCGCUAGCCAUAUUGCUCAAAUUAUCGACUUUUGGUUAAAACACAUUAAAUAAAUUUGGAUAAGAGAAUAGGUGGCGCACACCUCAUUAUUUCUAGAAUAAGCAAGUGGGAGGCGCACGCCUCACUACCGUGCAUAUUCAAUUUUCACAAAUAAGCUUUCAAUAAUAAUUCAAAUAAAAUGGAGUAGAAGGCGUUCGCCUUAUUAUUCUUCGAAAGAAUUGAACGAUUGGUGUGCACCACAUUGCUCAAUCUUUUGUCGUUCUUUUAAAAAUAUCUAACACAUCAAUUCAACUUGUCACCCCCGUGUGACCAAAACUCUUUUCAAAAAGAAAACUGUUUAAUCCCUUUUAACGCGCACAAUAAACUAGUGCUUAAGCCUCCACCGAGAGUAGACAAACCAAUGUUUAGCCUUUAGAACGUGAUCUAAACAGCUGUUCAUUAAAAGACACCAACCAAUCGUAGUUCCCCAAACUACGAAUGCUCUAAUUUCCUUAUUGCACCAUAAGGAUACGUAGGCACGAGAUUGCGAGAUCUUGGCAAGCAUAUUAAUAAAAAACCUCCCUUUUCCCCCUUCUGAGGUUUCCAUCCACCUCUUUUCAAUAUUUUCAUAACUCGAAAAAAACAAACAACAUUAACUAACAUUCAAAUAGCAAAUUAAACUAAAAGGUUCCCGUUGAGUACAACGGACGUGAGGGGUGCUAAUACCUCCGCCUUGCGUAAUCGACUCCCGAACUCGAAUAUGGUUGCGACGACCAUUAUUCUAUUUUUCAAAGGUUUUAUCGAUAUUUUCCUAUUCCUUCAUUGGGAUAAAUAAAGUUCGAUGGCGACUCUGUUCGAACAAAUUUUUUUCGCUACCAUCGCGAGGAAUCGUAUUUUUCAAGAUGCGACAGAUGGCAACUCUGUUGGGGACUAGCUAUGCUCCAAGCAAGAGAGUCAAGCCUAACUUAGUUCAAUUUGUGAUAAAUGUUAAAUUACUGUUUUUCUUCAUUAUUUGCUUCUGUGUCUCCUGACGUAUUAUUUAUGCUAUGUAAUUUAUUCUGCUAUUAUGUUGGGUGAUCUAUGGUGUUUGACACAUGUUGUGAGUUAAGCUCUGUACCCGAGCUUUGAGAAGAACUUAGAACCUGAAGUUGUGUAGUCUUGAACUAAGGGGUAUACACCUCGUUGGGACAAUACGAAGACUCCACCUAGAGUAGAUCUGUUCGGAAUUUCCAUCAUAAUAUGGCUAGCCCAUUAUUGCGAGGAAACUUUGAACAUGGUCCAUGACUCUGGGAACCUCAUCUUAAACUGAAGUCCGUCUUCAUGAUUGGCGAUCGUGUAGUAUUGAACCGAAGGGUCUACACCCUGUUCGAACAAUACGAGGAUCCCACUUAGAGUGGUCCAUGACUCUGGGAACCUCAUCUUAAACUGAAGUCCGUCUUCAUGAUUGGCGAUCGUGUAGUAUUGAACCGAAGGGUCUACACCCUGUUCGAACAAUACGAGGAUCCCACUUAGAGUAGACUGAACUUGGCCCAUGACUCUAAGUUCUUGUCAUGAAAACGGAUAACCCUAGGAGCAAUCCUUUGUGUAUGGGGUAAAGGACAUAGAACCAUCGUAUAAGUUGAACCUUGUGAUAUAUGUGAAACUUGGAUCCCUGUCAUUGCAUAAACAUCAUAUUGUGUUCAUUAUGAGCAUAACAAAAUCAUUUACACACUUUUUAUUUUCAGGGAAUUUCAAAAUUUUCAGUUAAUUAAGCAUUCAGGAACAAAUGGAGCUAGGAAAGAGAAAAACAAUCCAAAUCAAAGCCAAAGUACCGUGUGUGAAGGGGUUCAUUGCAUUCAGAGAUGGGUUGAAUAAUAUCCGUCGAGACGCAUUCACACUCGGAUAUGGGAAGAUUCUACACUUGUUGUCCGUAUCGGUACAAAAGGAUGCUAUUACCGCACUAACCCAGUUUUAUGAUCCACCACUCAGACGUUUCCUCUUUAGAGAUUUCCAAUUGGCCCCGACUUUGGAAGAAUUCGGAAGAGACUCUCCCAAACAGAAGAAGGGACCUUAUAGGGGACUGGGUCAAAUCCCAAAACCCAAAGAGCUGGCAGAAGUUUUAGACAUUCUGGUCGAAGAUCUAACCCCUAACAUCAAAAUUUGGGGGAAGGUACAAGGAAUUCCUCAAGAAUACUUGGAGAAGAUUGCUCAAAGCUUUGCUAAAGCCCAAAAGUGGGAAGCCCAUGAUACUAUUAUGGCUUUACUUAUUUUUGGAUUGGUGUUAUUUCCUAAUAUGGAGAUGUUGAUUGAUGCAGCAGCUAUUAGCGUGUUUUGGGCCGUCAAGGUUAAGAAUGAAGAUCCAGUGCCCGCGCUCCUGGUAGAUGUUUAUCACACAUUGCACUUACGCUUCGAGAAGAAGGGAGGGUUGAUGUUAUGUUGCAUACCGCUUCUUUACCAAUGGUUUGUCUCUCAUGUGUUCAAAGAUGUUGAUAUGAUUGAGGGGAUUGAUGGAUACGAGUGGUCUCAAAAGCUAGUAGGACUCACUGAAAAUACCAUUAUUUGGUAUCCUCAUGGUUUGAAUGUGGGAGACACAAUUACUAGUUGUGGAGAAUUUCCGAAUGUUCCAUUAAUAGGGUCAAAAGGCUGCAUUAAUUACAAUCUGGUUUUAGCAAUGAGAUAGUUGGGUUAUCCUACCACAUACAAACCAGAUGAUCAGUUGUUAGAAUAUUUUGUGUUUCAUGAUAUGGAGGAUCUUGUUAUACUAAGAAGGGUUAUCCAAGCUUGGGAAAAAGUUCGCUUCAGAGGACAAGACAAAGGAAAGGGGGUCAUAGGGGAUAGAGAACCUUAUUAUCAAUGGGUCACAAGGAGAAGUCAAGAGAUCAAGCUACCAUUCACCCUCGAUCCUCCUACUUAACCUCCACCACCAGAGCCUACCCCUGUCUCUAUUGAAGAUGUGGAAGCAUUGAAAGCUACUAUAGCAAGACUCUGACGAGAAAAUGAAGAGCUACAUAUCAGCUUCCAGCAAGUUUCAAAUGAAAGAAAUGAAAUAAAGUGGGAACUAGAGAGGAAGAAGGCUCAGCUAGAAGCGACUGAGGAAAAGGUCGAUAAGGAAGAACACAAGAGAAAGAAGGUGAAAGUAGGCAUGGAGCAAGCUGACCAAUGCCUAGAAACCAUUAAAGAGCAGUUGAAACAAGUUGAGAAAGAGUGCCAAAAGAAUAAGAGAUGGUGGCUACGAGCAACAGAAGAGAAAAAAGAAGUUAGAGAGACAUUGGAGGCUAAGAUACAUGAUCUCACUAUAUCUCUUCACAAUAUUGAGACCCGAGCUGAGCACGAGCGUCGACUUAAGGAAAGAACCCUCGAAGCUUCUCGAGUCACGCCUACAAUUUGGGCCGAGAAAUGUUAAGAGGCAAAAGAUGCUAGAGAAAUUGCUCAACAUUGGAAAUAUGGAUUUGAGGCAUUCCAUCAAGACAGUGUGAUAUGGCUUAGGGAAAGAGAGCAAGUCAUCGAAGAUUACGAUACCUUCAAAAGAACUAUCAAUUUCUUGCAAGAGGACAAAGAUGGGUACCGUACAAAUCUCAACAGUUUGGUAGAAUUCUGCAACUGGACGACCCAAGAAAUGCCUUGGAGGUUGAGAGAGGCAGUGGAAGGAUUGGACCAACACGACACGCAUCCCGAUGUAAUCAAUUUUGUUAUGAUGUGUGAGGGGAUGGUGAAAACGUUCAAGUUCGAAUUAGAAGAACUCAUAACCCGAAAGACUGUUGUGUGAUUUUUCUAUUUUUCUUGCAUUGAGUUUAUGCUUUCGCAAAAGUUUAAUAUUGGAGUUGUAUUGAUUUGGGCGUUUAUGACUUUGUAUCCCGUACUUUGACCAUCUGAAUGAAUGAAGAUGAUCCUCGUUUUUAUUUCCUGACUUUGUGUUUUCUUCGAAUACUUAAUAAAAAUUACAACCGCUAUGAAAACUCCCUGGAAAUAAAUAAAUAAAUAAAUAAGAAAAAGGACAUUUUUUCAUUUGCAUGCAUCUACCCCAUCACAUAUUUCAUUUCAAAAAAAACUUACCCAACCUUUUUACCCUCUACCAGUAAUGCUGACUAACCGACACCAAUACGAGACACGGAGUAACUAUAAGAUGACAUUAGAGCAAGUUAAGGCUAAUCAAGUUACCAUGAGGACAGACAUCACUGUAAUCCAAGAGAAGAUGGAUCAACUGUUAGAAACGAUGCUAGCAAUCGCCCAAAGAGAGAGGGUUGUGGAUGCAGAAACUAGGGUGAGGAAGAAUGAUAGCACAUCAGGAUUGGUCCAACAAGACGAAUGUUUCACUCACGCUAAGAAGAGUCUGGUUCAUAUAUCGGUGGGAAACAAAGGGGAUGGAGAUCGUGCAAGGCCUUUUGAUGCGUCUGCUUAUUAUGGGUCUGAAAUGGGAGAUGACCUUUACGACGCUUUCUAUGUGCCUGAUCAACCAAAGCCUAAGAUACUUCCAGAUCCUGCUGCGGAUAGGCUUCGCGCCUUGGAAAAAAAGAUCAAAGCUAUAGAGGGGAAUAAUAUCUUCGGUGCCGCUGCCAUGAAUAUGGGUUAGGUAUCAAAUUUGGUCAUCCCGACUAAAUUUAAAACUCCUGAUUUCGAGAAAUACAAAGGCCAGACUUGUCCAAGAAGUCACCUGGUAAUGUACUUCAGGAAAAUGGCUGCCCAUACUGAAAACGACAAGCUGCUUAUACACUGUUUCCAAGACAGUUUAAGUGGAGCGUCUUUAAGGUGGUACAUGAGCUUAGAGCAAGGGCGGAUUCAAAGUUGGGAAUAUUUGGCUGACGCAUUUCUCCAUCAAUACAAAUAUAAACUAGAUAUGGCGCCCGACCGAAUGCAGUUAUAAGGGAUGACCAUGAAGGAAAAGGACUCAUUUAAAGAAUACGCCCAACGAUGGAGAGAGUUGGCUGCUCAGGUAGAGCCACCAUUGUCUGAAAAAGAAAUGACUGGAAUAUUUAUGGACACACGGAAGGACCCUUUCUUUGAUAGAUUGGUGAGUAGUGCAGUGUCCGACUUUGCGCAUCUGGUGACAAUCGGAGAUCGCAUAGAAAAAGGGUUAAGAGAUGGAAAGAUUCAAGGAGUUGUGGCAGCCUCCAGCGCACCGAAAAAGUAUACUGGAGGCUUCCAAAAGAAAAGAGAAGGUGAUACGAACGCUAUAUCCAAAGGCUACAAGGGGAAGCAACAGGCUUCAUAUGGCCAAGUCGCCGCCGUGGUACCCAUACCCUAUCAACAACCAAUACAGCAACAAGAAGUGUAUCAACAACAGCAUCAACAACAUCGUCAACAACAAAAUACCGCUCCACCAAGGCAAUUCAGGCUAAGACCCCCGAGAAGGCAACUUGACCCUUUACCGGUGCCUUAUAGCCAAAUAUUCUCGUACUUGCAAAAGGAGGGACUCUUGAUGUUAAGGGAACUAAAACCGACUGUUUUUCCAUAUCCACCUGGAUAUGAUGCUAACGCCCAUUGUGAGUUUCACAUGGGAGUGCCCGGCUAUACCCUGGAGAAUUGUUUUGCAUUUCAAAAUCGGGUACAAGACCUGAUUGAAGCAAAGGUUGUCACCUUCACUCCGAGACGCCCGAACGUGAACACUAAUCCUAUGCCAACAUAUAGAGGUGCUUCCGUUAGUGACAUUGAGGAGAGUGAUCAAGGUGAAUUGAUUCUCAAAGUAGAAGAAAUUCAAACUCUUAUCACCAUGAUAGGAACACAACUACUAAAGAGUGGUAUAAUCCCGGUGGAGCUAGUUGAUGAAGGAAAUGAUAAAAGGUUAAAGAAUUUUAUACAACAAAUGUUGGACCAAGGCGAGUUACAGAUCGAGCGUCGGGUCAAAAGCAGGAAUGAGGAAGAAAUAGCAGUGGUGGACAUCCCUUAUGAUGAGGUUAAUGUGGAAAUCCCUAUAAGCCCAUUGGUAAUAGAACUUCCAGCACCGUUCGCAUAUGAAGACGAGAAGGCGGUACCGUGGAUAUAUCAGCCCAGAGCUUUUAAGCAAGGGCAGGAAGACCGACCCAUGGUGAUCAAUGAACCAAACGUCAUCUUGAUUAUGGGGCCAGCUGGAAUGACGCGUAGUUGUCGAGUGUUCGCGCCAAGGACUGUUGAUGCUUCUGUAAAAGCUAAAGGGAAGGAAAUUUUUGCUCCUGUCCAAAUCCCCGUCCCUAAUUAAGAAAUGCGAGAAAUGCAUCUUUCUCCUAAAGCUGCAGUCACUCGUGAAGAGGCCGAGGAAUUUUUGAGGAUAAUCAAGAAGAGUGAUUAUAAAGUGGUGGACCAAUUGAAUUGAACACCUUCAAAGAUCUCCAUGUUAUCUUUGUUGCUCAGCUCAGAAGCACACAGAAACUCGUUGAUUAAAGUGUUAAGCGAUGCGCAUAUCACGAAAGAUAUAACGGUGGAAUAGUUUGAAGAUGUGAUAGCUUGUGUAACCACUGGAUAUUUUUUGGGUUUCAACGAUGACGAACUGCCGGUCGAGGGAAAGAACCAUAACAAAGCCCUACAUAUCUCCUAGAAAUGCAUAGACACUAUACUGUCAAGGGUAUUAGUAGACACGGGUUCCUCGUUGAACGUCAUGCCAAAAACCACUUUGGUAAAGCUACCAAUGGAAGGGAUGAAUAUGAAGCCCAACACUCUGAUCAUAAAGGCGUUUGAUGGCUCAAGGCGAGCAGUGAUAGGGGAGAUUGACCUGCCGGUUAAAAUAGGCCCGACCGUCUUCACUAUCACAUUCCAUGUUAUGGACAUACAUCCCGGAUAUAGUUGCCUACUUGGGAGACCAUGGAUUCACUAUGCAGGCACCGUCACUUCCACUAUACAUCAGAAGCUAAAAUUCAUCACAAAUGACAAGAUGAUUGUGAUUGGAGGAGAGGAGGAUAUCUUGGUUAGCCACUUAACGUCUUUCUGGUAUAUCGAGGUGGAUGGCGAGAUCACCGAGACCUCAUUCCAAUCCUUGGAGGUGGUAAACGUAAUGGUCGUUCAACAGAUGUCGGAAACACCAAAAUCAGGACCAUCCAUGGCCUCGUGGAAAGGGGCUAAAGCUGUUAUGGAGAGUGAAAAUGCUCAAGACUGGGGCAAGGUGGUGGAAGUGCGAGAGAAACUUGGACAAGUUUGGUUUAGGGUAUGACCCGUCAUCGAGUGAAGUUGGUAACCAACAUGGCCAAGAGCGGAUUCCUUCUGUGGAAGAAACGUUCACCAACGCUGGCCACAUUUUUGGCAACCAGGUGGCAAUGAUCAAUGAUGAAGUUCGCGAAGAGGGGGUGUCUAGCGGGAUACGACAAGCCGCGCCCAAUGAAGAAUUGAAGAACUGGAAGGCCGUGGAAAUCCCCCAACUUUUCCAAAAGUAAUUUUAUUAUUUUAAACAAAACUCAGUGCUCUGCCCAAGGCACAGUGGCGUGUUGUAGGGCCUCCUUUAUCUUUUCAAGAGUUUCUGAAUAUCAUUAAUAAAAUGGAGAUUUGCAUUCAAAUUUUUGUUCCUUUCCUUUCAUUUUGUAUUACAAUAAAAUGGCAUUAAUUCUUAUGCAUGCACUUUCUAAAUAAACUGCAUAUAUCAUAACAUGCAUAGACACCACCGAGACCAUUGAUAACGACACUGCUAGGGUCUGGCAUGAUUUUGACUGUCCGAUUUACCAAGCUGAAGACGAAGUGGGGGAAGAUUUUGAACUCCCUGAAGAGUUGGCCAGAUUACUCAGACAAGAAGAAAAGGUCAUUCAACCACACCAGGAGGACGUCGAAGUUAUCAACCUGGGAACAGAAGAAGAUAAGAAAGAAGUAAGGGUAGGCGCCACACUUCAAGAUGCAGUGAAGACAAGGUUGAUAGAGGUCAUACCAAGAUAUACCCGGAUUAGACACUGACAUCGUGACCCACAAGCUUCCCCUUAACGAAGAAUACUCUACCGUCAAACAAAAGCUAAGAAGAACUCGAUCGGAUAUGGCUCUCAAGAUCAGAGAAGAGGUGAGAAAGCAGUUUAACGCCGGUUUCCUGGAAGUCGCUAAGUACCCACAAUAGGUUGCCAACAUUGUACCGAUACCGAAGAAAGAUGGGAAAGUCUGCAUGUGCGUCGACUACCGAGACCUAAACAGAGCUAGUCCCAAAGACGAUUUCCCAUUACCACACAUUGAUGUAUUAGUGGAUAACACAACUCAUUUCUCCGUAUUUUCCUUUAUGGAUGGCUUCUCUGAAUACAACCAAAUUAAAAUGGAUCCCGGGGACAUGGAGAAAACCACGUUCAUUACCCCUUGGGGCACCUUUUGUUACAAAGUGAUGUCGUUUGGAUUAAAGAACGCCAGGGCAACAUAUAAACGUGUUAUGGUGACUCUCUUUCAUGACAUGAUUCAUAAAGAGAUUGAGGUGUAUGUUGACGAUAUGAUUGCAAAAUCCCAGACAGAAGAAGAGCACACCACUAACCUGGAGAAACUGUUUGCACGGUUAAGGAAGUUUAGGUUGAGACUUAACCCUAACAAGUGCACAUUUGGGGUUCGAUCUGGGAAACUUUUAGGCUUUAUUGUAAGCCAAAAGGGAAUUGAAGUGGACCCUGACAAGGUCCGAGCCAUUCAGAACAUGCCUGCACCAAGGACUGAGAAGGAAGUUCGUGGGUUCUUGGGAAGACUAAAUUACAUCGCCAGGUUUAUCUCUCACCUUACUGCCACAUGCAAACCAAUAUUCAAACUUCUAAGGAAGAAUCAAGGCGUGGAGUGGAAUGAUGACUUCCAAAUAGCCUUCGACAAAAUCAAAGAAUACUUACAAGAGCCACGGAUUCUGAUGACCCCUACAGAAGGGAGACCUCUCAUCAUGUACUUGACAAUGCUCGACGAGUCCAUGGGUUGUGUAUUGGGACAACAGACAACAAGAUGAGACUAGUAGAAAAUAGCAUGCCAUAUAUUAUCUGAGCAAGAUGUUUAAUGAUUACGAGACCAGAUAUUUAUUACUCGAAAAGACCUGUUGUGCACUCGCGUGGGCCGUUAAGUGUCUCAGGCAGUACAUGCUAACUCAUACAACUUGGUUGGUAUCUAAAAUGGAUCCUAUCAAGUACAUAUUCGAGAAACCAUCUCUUACCGGUAGAAUUGCCCAAUGACAGAUGUUGUUAUCAGAAUAUGAUAUUCAAUACGUUGCGCAAAAGGCCAUCAAAGGAAGCAUGCUAGCAGACCAUCUUACUCACCAACCGUUAGAGGAUUACCAACCUUUGAAGUUUGACUUCCCAGACGAGGACAUCAUGGUUGUUAAGGAUGCUGAAGACUCCGGACUAGAGGAGAGACCUGAGCCAAAUACAGGAUGGACUCUCAUGUUCGAAAAGCUUCAAAUGCAAUAGGUCAUGGAAUUGGGGCAGUGCUGAUGUCUCCCAAGAAUUUCCAUAUACCGUUCACCGCAAAGCCCUGUUUUACCUGCACAAAUAACAUGGCCGAGUAUGAAGCUUGCAUAUUGGGGCUGGAAGAAGCUAUUGAGUUGAAGAUCAAGGUACUAUAAGUAUUCAAGGAUUCUGCUCUAGUGAUACUUCAGAUCAGAGGUGAUUGGGAAACAAGACAUGCUAACCUAAUCCCAUAUCGGGAUUACGUGCUGAAGUUACUCCCAAAAUUUGACAAAAUCACUUUCUCUCAUAUUUUUCGAGAAGAGAAUCAGAUGGCAGGUGCCUUAGCAACCUUGGCUUCCAUGUACAAGUUAAUAUGGCCUAAUCAUCAUCCUCACAUUGAAAUUAGGCGUUUUGAUGAACCUGCGUAUUGCCUGACAACAGUAGAAGAGCCAGAUGGUAAACCCUGGUUCUUUGACAUCAAAUAGUAUCUAGAGAAGCAAGAAUACCCGCAAGAGGCUUCCAGCCUUGAUAAAAGGACCAUACGGAGGUUGGCAUCAAAGUUCCUUUUAAAUGGGAAGGUAUUAUACAAGUGGAAUUAUGACAUGGUUUUAUUGAGGUAUGUGGACAAACAUGAAGCUAAUCAGCUUAUGAAGGACAUACACGAAGGGUCCUUCGGCACAAACGCAAAUGGGCAUGCAAUGGUGAAGAAGAUCUUAAGGGCGGGUUACUACUGGUUAACGAUGGAAGCCGACUGAUCAUUACACCAGAGCAUGCUACAAAUGCCAAAUCUAUGCUGACAAAGUACAUGUACCGCCUACCCCGUUAAAUGUUAUAGCAUCACCUUGGCCAUUCUCUAUGUGGGGCAUCGACAUGAUCGGGAUGAUAGAACCCAAAGCGUCUAAUGGACAUAGAUUUAUCCUGGUGGCGAUAGACUACUUCACCAAAUGGGUUGAAGUCGCAUCUUAUGUGAAUAUCACGAAGCAUGUAGUCGCCCGUUUCUUAAAAAACAAUAUCAUAUGUCGAUACGGGAUUCCGAACAGAAUCAUCACUGAUAACGGGUCCAAUCUCAACAACAAGACCAUGGAGGAGUUAUACACAACAUUCAAGAUUGAGCAUCAUAACUCAUCACCAUAUCGGCCUAAGAUGAAUGGGGUUGUCGAAGCUGCGAACAAAAAUAUCAAGAAAAUCAUCCAGAAGAUGGUAGUCACGUACAAGGAUUGGCAUGAGAAGCUACCUUUUGCGUUACACGGUUAUCGUACCUCAGUACGAACUUCAACAGGGGCAACCCCUUAUUCCUUGGUAUACGACAUGGAAGCAGAUCUCCCUAUAGAAGUGGAGAUUCCCUCGAUGAGAGUCCUGAUGGAGGCUAAGUUAGACGAGGCAGAAUGGGUUCAAUUAAGGUUCAAUGAGGUCAACCUUAUUGAGGAGAAACACUUUGGAGCAUUGUGUCACGGUCAACUCUAUCAGAGGCGUCUUAAGAAGGCAUUUGACAAAAAAAGUAUGUCCUAGGGUGUUUCAAGAGGGAGAUUUGGUGUUGAAGAAGAUCUUGCCCAUUCACAAGGAUUCUAGGGGAAAGUGGACACCAAAUUAUGAAGGCCCAUUUGUGGUGGUUAGAGCCUUCUCCGGGGGCGCUCUAAUCCUAGCAACUAUGGACAGUGAUGAACUGCCACUUCCCAUCAAUAGUGAUGAUGUUAAAAAGUACUUUGCCUAAAAAAGUGGAAUAGUAAAAGCCGCUAAAUCGAAAACCUGAAAGGGAGAUUUAGGAAAAAAUGGCUAUCCCGGUGGAUCGAAAACCCGAAAGGGCGAUCCAUGCAAAAAUUAGGGAUAAAAAAUUAAAAAAAUUGACCCGCUGAGUUGAAAAAUCGAAAGGGCGGCUCAGGCAAAAAUGGGUAUCCCGGUGGAUCGAAAACUCAAAAGGGCGAUCAGGCAAAAGUUAGGGAUUAAUUCCAAGACAAAGAACUGUACUUUCAGGCAUCUAGCAUAUCCCUCGAGGAUAAAGAAUCAAUCUACCUGACUUUUUCCAAAGCGACGUACUCGGACUAUCAAAGACAUAAGGAUCAUAGCAGUGUGGAGACUCAAUAGGAACUCAAUUUUAUUGUCGUCCUAUUUCUAUGCACAUCAAUUACCUCAUUAAGGAAUUGCAUCGUUAUGUACAAUCGCCCACUCAAGGGUCAGAUCAAUAAAAGAGAAUUUUUCUCGACAAAAGUUAUGCCCAAAUUAUUUUGUAUUUUAUCUGUUUGUUUGCAAGGCAUUUUUAUUUUUGAUAAACAUCACUCUUAAAGAUUCUGGAGAAAAUAAAAACACAUAAUUGAAUGAAGUGAUAAAAUUGCUUUUGAAAUAGUAAAAGGGUAGAUCUCAUAGCCCCCAAGUUUGUUCUUGUUUUUCAUUGGGGUAUAAGAUUGUUUGCAGGCACCUAUGUUCGUUCCAAUUGCUAAUCAAACGCCUCUCAUAGAUAUACUCAUGGUAUAGCCAAACCUCAGCGAGUCUCUAGUGCAUUUCCAGCAAGAACGUUAAUAAAUCAUGGUUAAAAUAUCGCGUGUUGAAAAGUCUGAACCCUUCGAGUGGCCUGGGGCAGCCCAAAUAUAUUCCCAAAAUUACCCAGUGGGGCAUCAAAUCUUGAUCUCCAUCAUAACAAAAGUCCACACUGUUGGCAUCAUCACCAAAGCGAAAACGCCUUAACCGGGGCACAUCCCAAUUACCCAUUUGCAUACUCGCAUACAUCGCAUGCUCCAUGUGCAUCAAUUACAUACAUAAUCUUCCUACCAAAUAGGAAAAUUCACCAAGAAAUAAUCAUACCAAUAAUUGGCAUACAUAUGCAUAGCCUUAUACGAUUCACAUUCCUAUAUGCACAUCCUAAAUAUCCUCGGCAUUUGCAUGUUCGCAUACGCCGCAUGCAUAAUUUCAUACAUAGUGCUUUCAUCCAAAGUGGAACGUCAUACAUCAAGCAUAAAAAAUCAGGAUCCAUGGUCAUUCAUGUGUAUCCCAGACUUUCCUCCUUCAAUUCAAUAGAGUUGAUACCCUGCAUAUGCUUGUGGAAUUAUUUCUCAGCUAGUCUUUCUUCAACUUUAUGGCUGAUAGUGAGAUUCCCCAACGUCUUUGCUAUCAUUUCUCCCCAAGCAGAGGUUACCAUAAAAGUCUCUUAUGAGCUUCUCCCCUGCAGAGCUUUUCCAGCAGAUUUCCUCCAAAGGGAAUCUUUUCUAGAAUAUUUCCCCCAACAAACGAACAUUUGAGAUACUGCUUCAUUUAUCUAAAGAAUCUCAUUUAUCUGUUUAAGACACUGGUUCAUUUAUCUGAAGAAUCUCAUUUAUCUGUUCGAGAUACUGCUUCAUUUAUCUGAAGAAUCUCAUUUUAUCUGUUUGAGAUGUUGCUUCAUCAAUAUGAAGAGUCUCAUUCCAAUUUCUUUUGAGAUACUACUCUAGUAUCCUCGAAGAGUCUUAGAUUCAAUUAAGGUAUCAUUCCCUUGUUCGGAAUAUCUUAAUUUGAUCGUAUAAGAUGCUACUUCGAUUCGAUACAGAGAAUCUCAUUUUUGCUGUUUGAGAUGUUGUUUCAUCAAUAUGAAGAGUCUCAUUCCAAUUUCUUUUGAGAUACUGCUCUAGUAUCCUUGAAGAGCCUUAGAUUCAAUUAAGGUAUCAUUGCCUUGUUCGAAAUAUCUUAAUUCUAUCAUAUAAGAUGCUGCUUCAUUUUGAUACAGAGAAACUCAUUUUUGUUGUUUGAGAUGCUGCAGUAAGACCAUAAUUUUGACCCUAAGAUCCCUCAUGCAAUUCCAUCAUAUGCAUUAGCAUUGGGAUCAUACCUUAGCAUCCUCCUUACCCUUUUUUCAUUGGGUUUGUUUUAGGAGAGAUCACCAAGCACUACGUGAUUGUAUCAUACUUGUAUUUUAUCAUUUCACUAACCAAAAUACCAAAAAUAUGUCUUUGCAUUUGCCUAACUCUUUUGUAGGUAGGGCAUGAUCUCCAUUGAUCUAUCAAGUUCACAUCUAGGGUUUUGAGACCCUCAUGAAAAAGAGCACAACCAUGAAUUGAUUCAAGGAUAGUCAUAAACUCAUAUAUGAGUCCCAAUGACCUCUACAUGUUAUAUUGAUCAAGUUUUCUUCAAGAGUUUGAGGUGGUUUUGCCUUGGAAACCCUAGUUUUGACUGGGUAUCUUGAGUAACUUCUCCAACAAGCUAUCUCACCAAUUGAUCAAAUUUCUCAAGGGACACUUCAAAAUUCAUCAUCUUAUGCAUAUAUGAUCUACCAUGAGCCUAGAAAGUCAAGAGAAUCGAAGAUUAGCAAGUUGGUUGAUGGUGGUUGGCCAGAUGAAUUCAUCUGAUCAAAACUGGGUCUCCCUAGACCCGAUCUCCUACAAUUUUCACCAUAUGAAAAUGAUUCCAAGAGCAAACAUACUCUAAAUGAUAUUCCAAACAACUUUCAUGUUGAGACCUAGCGAUAUUUUUGCUUUGAAAAUCAUUUUCUAUGUUGAAACAUUAUAGGUCAUUUUGUUUAAACCCUAAUUUGAAAGUCAACUUCCCAAGGCCAUAUCUUGCUCAAUUUUUAAGAUAUGAAAGAUUUCCAAGCUUCACAAUCAAACUCAAGAUGUCUAAUUCAACUUUUAGGUUUGGAGUGAGAGCUGAUUCAACUUUUAUGAGCAUGUGAUAUGAGGUUACAUUAUAUGUCACUUUUGACCUAUACCAUUGAUCAAGUGAUUUUUCCAAACUUCAAAAAUGCAUAACUCUAUCAUUUCAAAUCCAAAUGAAACGAAAUUGGUCACGAUUUUGAAGGUAUUUGAAAGAUCUACAACUUUGAUAAAGACACUUUUCUCAUUUGAAGCUCACAUAAAAAGUUAAGCAAGGUGGAAUAUUGGGACAUAUGGCUUGACACUUAGAAAAAAUUUCAAUAUGUUAAAAUUUCCAAACUUCCACCUCAAAAUUUUUGAACAGGAAAGUUGUUCCUCUUGAUCUAACCUUUCCAAAAAGCUCAAAUUCAUCCAUUUUGGACAGGAAAUGAAUGGGUUGCACAUGGCUUGAACAUGGUAUCAUCAUUUGGCAAGAUUGAACUUCAAACAUCCAUGCACAACUGCCUAGCAUUCCAACAUGACUUCAGCAUUGCUUACACUCAAUUAUGGAUCAGAUAGAGUGAUUUCAUGGGCCUGCACACGCCCAUGCACUCAUGCAUCACACAUUGCUAAUUUUGGAAGCUCAUUUCAAGUGUGCAAAUAUCAACUGAAUUGGCUAUAAAUAGAGCUCCAUAUGCUCAAAAUUUCACAGACAUUCGCGCCAGCUUUGAUCCCAAACCUCUAACUCUCUCAUUUCAAAGGAUAAUCCUGAGAAUUUCACUUUAAAUUGAGUUUGAAUUCUCUGUGUUGAGAUUCAAAACUCCAGGGAUCCAAGACCUUUUGAGCACUCAAUUCUUCUUCUGCAAGCAUUUGGAGUGAGAUCAAGCAUGAGCCAAGGUAAGAACAGCUUAAUCCAGACCUACAUUGAAGGUAUUUUCCAGAAAUUUUAAUCUCUUCGAUUCUCUAUUAAUCUUGCUCAAUUCUCUAUAUUCUUUGGUUGUCUGAAGUCCUACCAAUGUAGGCAAGAAGAUUGAGUUACUUUGAGGCCAAAUCGAAGCAACUCAGUUCAUGUACCUCAAAUUUCAACUCCAUGUAUCUCUCAAUAUACUUGGAGUUUGGUUGUCUGAAGUCCUACCAAUGUAGGCAAGAAGAUUGAGUUACUUUGAGGCCAAAUCGAAGCAACUCAGUUCAUGUACCUCAAAUUUCAACUCCAUGUAUCUCUCAAUAUACUUGGAGUUAGGAUGAAUUGAGGUCAGAUUCGUGCUCUACGCCAUUUUUUAUUUUAGAUCAUGUCCCCCUUUUUUAUUCUGGUGAUGGUUGAAGGUGGACCAGUCAGGUGAGGUCCACCAGAGAAGAAGACCGGAGCUACAGCUCCGGCGAUGUGUUGGCAUCUCUCACAACCAUAGGAUCCAGUUGAAAUGAUUUAAUCACGAGCGUGCAUGUUGAUUACCACGUGUGUGGACAAUUGACUCAAGUGCAUGGUGAACCGCGCACGCUCAACCACUUGAUUUGCCACCUUAAUUAAUGAGGCAGAUCAAGUGGUCCACGUUUUUUUGAUUUUCUGUUUUUUAUUUUAAUUCCUUUGAUUUUCAUUAAUUCGUAUUAAUUUUAAUAUUGAUCCAAAAAAUAUGAGAGUUUCACCAAAUAUUUUCAAAUAUUUUCCUCUUUCAUAUUCUGAAUUAAAAUUAUUUUUUGAAUCAUUAUUAAUAUUUUUCAUUAUUUAAUUGAUUUUUCAUUUGUUUUUUAUUGUUUAAAAAUACUUUUGAGUCUUUAAAAAAUCUAAAAAAAAUUGUCCAAGGUCCUUUGACCUUGUUUGACCUAUGAUAAAUGUCAUGGCCAUUUAUUUGGUGUUUCGAUGAGGUUUUAGGAAUUUGACAAACCAUAUUUAAUUUAAAUGCCUUAUUUUAGUUUUUUUUUAAUUUGAUUAAAUGCCAAAUAAUUUGUUGACCAAUUGUGAUGACUCGUUGGUGUUUGACUAUUGUUGUUGGGUCUUGGUCAAGGUUGAUUUGACUUUGUCAAAUUAAUAUCAUUGGAUUUAGGGGAUUGAUGGAAUGUACAUUCCAUCUCCCAAAAUGAAUGGAAUGAUAUCAUAAUGUUGGUAAAAGUCUCGCUUUGACCAAUUUGUGUUUGUAUCAUUCCUCUUCCCACUUUCAAAUAACUAUACUUGCACUUCUUCCUUGGCAAUAUAUCAUAUACACAAAGGCGCGAUAUAUCUCUAUCUCUAGAGGAAGUUGUGGCACUAAAUAUUCGUACAAUCUCAUACUCAUGUUCAAAAUCUCUAUAUACAGUGAGCUAGGUUUGAUAGAAAUAAUUAACAUUGAGUAUGGAUGAGAUUAUGGCCACACCUUUUGGCAUAUCCUUUUUUUUGUGGUAUGUUUCAUGAGCAUAGUCUAUUAUACUAUGUCUCUAACAUGCAUUAACACCAAAAUUCUAUUGCCCGACAUCAAAUAGUUUGGACUUCUACAUAAGUCAAUUACGAUUGCUUAACAUAGCGCUAAACUUGUGAAACACAAAAGGCAUAAGCAUUCUAGUUAGUAAGAUUGUAGUCUCCCCUCUUUCAUGGUAUUGUGUGGAAACUUGGCCUUUUUUCCUUCCUUUGGAAUAUGUCUUGGUUCAAGAUCCAUGCUUGUUGAUAAGUGGGUUGAGUGUUCUCCAAAGAAUGUCUUAAAAUGAAAAGCAAAAGCAAAAACAAUAGUAACUUCUAACCUAUUAACUACUAACUUUAAUUUCAAGAGCCCUUUACUUUAAUGCCAUUUAAUUCUAGCUUUUAUACAUUUGCCAUUGUUCAUAUCAUUCUAAUUGUUUAUGUUAAUGCAAUUUUCACUUUAUCCACUUGGACCAUAUUGUGUGAUAAAUUUUAUUUGUGUAUACUUUGCUUGUUUGUAUGGUCUUUGACCAUUAAUGUACAUAAUAACAACAAAAACCCUAAAAAACUUUUUGUGUGGACUGUUGGCUUGAUCUUGGACAAAUAGACUUAGAAUCUAGGCAACCUUCCUAUGCUAAAGGACUUGGCCAAUGCCAACUUAUUGAGAAACCAAGUGCUUGCAAUUUGAAACUUCAUAUGAUACAUCAUUCAAGAUCUCUCUGAGUUCAUCUGUAACAUGAUCAUUGUGAAGUUGUUAUUUUGAACCUGUGACUUUUGAAAUUCAUCUGUUACAUGGGUUAUUUUGAGGAAGAUCAUGGAAUGGAUAAGCUUGGAUGUGGCCAUCUUUAUUUGAUGCCUUUUCUCUUUAAGAUUAAUAUAAUUGUGCAUUUGUGUGUUGCUUGAUUUUGAAAGUCCAAGGGAAUUCUGGGUUUCUAUUGACAUUCUUGUCUAUUGGAUUGCUACCCAUUUGGUCAGAUCUUUUCAACUCUAAACUUUAAAUUUUGUACAUAGGAUAUCCUCUUCAUAUUCUCCCCAUUUAUUUAAUUUCAAAAAUCUCUCCCUCCUUUUUCAAAACCUUCUUGGAUUGAACUUAUUUUGUUCUCAACUUUGACCACUUUUGCAAAAGAUAGAAACUUUGGCCUUAUGCCAUUGCAUUUUCAAACUUCUUUUCUAAAUCAAACUUGUAAGUAAACUUAACUAUACUUGACUUAAACUUUCAAAAAAAAGUCAAAAUGAACUAACUCAUUCAAACCAUUUUUAGGCCUUUGUGCCUUUCAAACUUAAUUCUUGUUAAAAGCAAUGCAUCCACUUUGAAAUUUGUAUCACGAACAACGAGAUUUUGAUCCCUCAUUUUUAUGUUGGUAUGUAGGCACAAGACCGAAGGUCUUGUCAAACACAAAAAUAUAAUUAAUUGAAUUCUUUUCUCACCCCCCCCCCCAUUCUAUUUUGNUCUCAUCCCCCCAUUCUAUUUUGUUUGUAAACAUCACUUUAUACCAAGUACAUAUGCACACAAAAAGGGCUCCCUAGAAGUACCUAGGACACUUUGGAUGCUAACACCUUCCCUCUGUGUAACCAACCCCCUUACCUGUAAUCUCUGACUUUUUAUUAGUUUUGAUUUGAAAAUAUCUUACUUUUAGGUUUUGUUCGUACUUUUUUCCUUUUCCCUUGGAAACAAUAAAAGCGCGGUGGUGACUCUUGUUAUUUGAUCUCUAGCUUAUCCAUAGCUUGAUGAUCAUGAAUUUACCGCUAUAAAAAUUAAGUGGCGACUCUGCUGGGGAGUAGUCUCCAGUGGGUUUAGCCUACUUUUUACGUGAAUAUAUUUGUAUAUAUGUGAUGUUUGUAUAUAUGUAUGUGUGAUAUACUCUGCUUGUUAUGCUUGGUGAUAUCUGAAUGGUGAGAUAAGUUCUAACCCGAACUUGAGUGCAAUUAAGAUAGGAGGAUGGUAUAGUCAUGUUCGACUUGUGUGGAGUAGUCCUUAACAAGUUGGCUUGAGACCCAUCUGCUCAGUGGAGACUCUUUUUCUAACCCGAACUUGAGUGCAAUUAAGAUAGGAGGAUGGUAUAGUCAUGUUCGACUUGUGUGGAGUAGUCCUUAACAAGUUGGCUUGAGACCCAUCUGCUCAGUGGAGACUCUUUUGGAUUUGGAAUGUCACAUAAGUAUUUGUGGUUAGGCAUUGCUAUCUCUAAUUGGGUCCGAGAAGCUGAGGACCGUAGAACAUUUACCCCCUCUUGGCCUAUUUAGGACGUAGUGCAGAAACUUUGCAAGUGUAGACUUGAUAAUAGUUGUUACGCGAUACUACACUCAGAUGAGUUUCUCUUGAGAAUAUUAUGGGUAGAUGAGUCAGUCAUCUUAACCUGUAAUAUCCGAUAGAUGGAAUUAAGACUCUGGGAACUUUUUAGAACAUGGUCUACAGGUUUUUAUCCUUAGUUCACUCAUUUGGGUUGGUUCUUACCCAGACUCCAUGCUCGUGACUUACAACAAACUCUUGAUUAUUGGUUGAUCCAAUCAAGUCUUGUCAAUAUCAAUGGAACUUGGGUGUUGAUAAGGUGUAAACCACAAUCCACCAAAAUGGAUGAUUGAUCUUGACAAUGACUUGAUUCAUACCUUGACCUUUGUUUGCCUUGUGUGUGAUCCCUUAUUUGUGAUUGUUGCGUUCAUGCAUUCAAGCGCAUCAUAACAUUCAUCACACAAAAAUUUCAAGGAACUAAGGUAUCAUUUGCAAAUAUUUUCAGACCAUGGAUUAUGGACGAAGGAACACCAAGAAGUACAGUUUCAGAUGUCCCGACUUGAAAGAGUUAAGGAAGCUAGCAUCUUUUGUAUUAGAUCCCUUGGACUUUGCAAAUAUUUUCAGACCAUGGAUUAUGGACGAAGGAACACCAAGAAGUACAGUUUCAGAUGUCCCGACUUGAAAGAGUUAAGGAAGCUAGCAUCUUUUGUAUUAGAUCCCUUGGACUUCAAACAAUGUCAUGGGAACCUUUUAUCCAUCUUGUCUGUUGAUGUGAUUGAAGGACUUUUGAGUGUGCUAGUCCAGUUCUAUGAUCCUCUCUACCGUUGUUUCACUUUCCCAGAUUUUCAGCUUGUGCCUACAUUGGAGGAGUAUUCUCAUCUUUUGGGGAUACCUGUUUCUAGUAGAGUGGAUUUUAGUGGAUUGGAGGAGAUUCUCCGGUCUAGUAUUAUUGCUGAAGCUCUUCACUUGAAGAAGUCUGAGAUAGAGGCUCAUUGGGUGAAGAAAGGAGGAUUGUUUGGGGUUGCCAUCUAAUUUCCUCAUCAAGGAAGCUACUGCUUUUGCUCAAGUCGGUAGUGUGGAUGCUUUUGAAGUUAUCUUUAUGUUGAUCAUUUAUGGAUUAGCUUUGUUCCCUAACAUUGAUGGUUUUGUUGAUGUUAACGCCAUUAGACUUUUCUUGAUUGGGAAUCUUAUGCCUACUCUGUUGGGUGAUAUGUAUUUCUCUUUGCAUCUAAGGAAUUCUAAAGGUGGUGGAACGAUUGUCUGUUGUAUUCCUCUUAUGUACAAGUGGUUUAUUUCGCACUUGCCUCAAACACCUAUUUUUGUGGAGAACAAACAAUGUCUAAGGUGGUCUCAGAGACUUAUGUCUCUCACUAAUGAUGAUAUAGUUUGGUAUGAUCCGUCUUUGAUCAGUUUGGAGAUUAUUGAUAGUUAUGGUGAAUUCUCUAAUGUGCCUCUCAUUGGUACACAAGGAGGAAUUAACUACAACCCUGCUUUGGCUCGUCGUCAACUUGGGUUCCCCUUGAGAGACAAACCUAAUAACACUUUGUUAGAAGGUCUUUUCUAUCAAGAGGGUAAAGAUCCCAACAUUGAAGCAGAAGAUUGUGCAUGCUGGCAAUAAUGUGCAUAGGAAAGGAAGAUCCGAGCUUGGUCUGCGCAAUUGUGUAGCUUUGGAAGCUUACAAUCUUGGGUGAAGAAGAGAGCUAGGAGUUUAAGAUGCCUUAUCCUUGCGAAAGACCUAUGUCUAUGAUUGUGGUUGAGUCAUUAACUCUCCCUAACCAAGAUGUGAGGAGUUGGAAGACGCGCUCGCCAAGAUGAAGCAAGAGAAGGAUAUGUGGGAAGAGCGUUUUCGUGCUUUGAGCAAGAAGCAUGAAGAGUUGCAGUUGGAGUCUAAGGACAAAGAUGCACUUGUUGAGUUACGUGAAGAUCGGGUGACGAAGAGACAGAGAGAGCCACAGUUUUCAUCUUCUAGCAUGUCGCAGCCUUCCGUUGCUUGGAAGAAGAUUAUUGAUCAGCUUGUCCUCGAGAAGACUCAGAUGAAGGCUUCUUUUGAGACCGAGAUCCAUCAUAUUCGAAGGAAGUACGCGCCUACAGCCAGAUCUUCUGACUUUGUUGUUAGGGAUCCUUAGGAUGACCAGUCUCCUUUUCUCUUGUAUUUUUCAUUUGGUUUCUGAAAUUGUACUCAGUGUAAUCCUUCCAAUUAUAAAUGAAAAAGAUAUUUUUGGUCAUAUCAAAUUGUUGCAAUUGCCAUUUAAAAAUAUAUAUUUGCAAAUAAUAUAGUAAGUUCCUUGAAAAUAAAAAAACAAUCAAGCAUUACAUGCAUCAUUUGCAUGAGCAGGUUUUCGCCAGAUGUCUGAUUGGUGUUUCUUCUAUGCUUUAGCCAAGCUGACUCAUCGGUACAAUACCCGAGCCAAUCAUCUGAGAAUUAUGGAGCACUUAGAGUAAGAGAACAGAGAGCUGAAGGAUGAGAUCACCCGCCUGACUGCCAUGAUGGAGUCAGUUCUCACUGCUCAGAGUCAAUCUUCUCCAACGCCUGCAACUCCUCCUACGAGGACUGUUAUUUCAAAGGUGGUUACCUCUACCGUGCCUGCUACUGCCACCCACUUUGCACCAACUAUGCCUUCCGAAUUCCCGUGGGGAAUGCCGCCCAACUUUGUGCUUGAAGGCUUUGCGCCUACUUUUGCUUCCAUGUCGGCAUCUAGCUCGGUCAUGUCCGUGCCACCUCCCGUUGUGCACACCUUACCUCGCAUAGAGGAUACCAUCUAUCAUUCCGAGCCGUCUAAGGGUCCGGAUGUGUAUGAGAAGAUGGACGAGAUGAAAGAUCAUUUUCUUGAGUUGCGCAAGGAAUUGAAGACGCUGAGAGGUAAAGAUCUAUUUGGAAAGAGUGCUGUUGAGGUGUGCUUAGUGCCCAACGUCAAGAUCCCGAUGAAGUUCAAAGUGCCUGACUUUGAAAAGUAUAAGGGGAACUCUUGUCCGCUCAGUCAUCUUGUGAUGUACGCCCGUAAUAUGUCUACUCAUACCGACAAUGAUCAAUUGUUUAUCCACUACUUCCAAGAUAGUCUGACCGGCGUUGCACUCCGUUGGUAUAUGGGAUUAGAUAGUUCCAGCAUUCGCACUUUCAAUGACUUAGGGGAGGCUUUUGCCAAGCAGUAUAAAUAUAAUGUGGAUAUGGCGCCAGAUAGAGACCAGCUAAGGUCUAUGUCUCAGAAAGACAAAGAGACAUUUAAGGAGUAUGCGCAACGAUGGAGGGAAUUGGCUGCUCAGAUCACUCCUCCUUUGGAGGAAAAAGAAAUGACAAAGAUCUUCUUGAAAACACUGAGUUCAUUUUACUAUGAACGAAUUAUUGCUAGUGCCCCCAGUGACUUUACCGAAAUGGUAAACAUGGGGAUGAGGCUUGAGGAAGGAGUCCGUGAGGGACAUUUGUCAAAAGAUGAGGCGUCAACAAGCAAGAGGUAUGGUAGUAAUUUCGGUAAGAAGAAGGACAGUGAGACGAAUGCACUAGUCAGUGGGAGGAAGAGGAGGCCUUAGAUCAGAAGAAAUCCAAUAUCCCGUCAACAUCAUCAUCAUCAAGUAUCCUCGGUAAUUCUGGUAUUUUCUAAUUAACAAGCAACACCAAUUCAACAACAACAACGUCAACAAUAACAACCGCAACAAAGAACAAACACCUACAACAACAACAAUACCAACAACAAUCAUCAUCAACAAAACUUUGAGAGGAAGACGGUCUCUUUUGACCCGAUUCCUAUGUCUUAUGCAGAGUUGUAUCCCUCAUUAGUUCUCAAGAACUUAAUUCAACCGAGGAACCCAUCAUAGAUUCCAGAACCACUUCCUUGGUGGUACAAGCCUGAGCUCCGUUGUGCUUUUCAUCAAGGAGCACCCGGACACGACAUUUAAAAUUGUUAUCCAUUGAAGUAUGAGGUUCAAAAAUUGAUGAAAAGUGGUAUGGUGUCCUUCGAGGACCGUGUGCCAAAUGUGAAAGCAAACCCUUUGCCCGUUCAUGGGAACUCUUCUGUGAAUAUGGUGGACGGUUGUCCUGGAGAAUUCAAAGUUUUUGAUGUGCGUUUUAUUAGGAGGUCCUUAGUGCAGAUGCAUAAGGAUGUUUGUUUGGUAAGUGAAUGUGAGCACGACCAUAAUGGUUGUGUUGUUUGUAGUGUUAACCCGAGGGGUUGUGAAGUUGUGAAAAGGGACAUCCAACGUCUAAUGGAUGAAGGCAUGAUCCAAAUUGUUCAAUCCCGUCAUGUAGAUGACGAUGUCAAUGUCAUAGUGCCCGUUUUCAAGCAACAAGAGCGGUUGGUAAUUCAGUAUGACUCCAGUAACAGCAACAAUCAAAGAUCAGUAUCGUCGUUGGUAAUACGGUUAGUAGGCCCAGUCCCGUAUUCAUCUGAUAAAGUUGUACCGUAUCAAUAUAAUGCUACAAUGAUGAAGGAUGGUCAAGAGGUCCCAUUAUCUACGACUAGUUCAGUGGUUAGCAUUGCUGAUGUUACAAAGGUGACCUGCGGUGGUCAAGUGUUUAGGCUGGUGUUCCCAAAGGAUAAAGAAGAAUCGAUUGUUGGUGAUAAAGUGAAGGUGCCUAGUAUAGACCCAGUUGGUUGUUCAAAAGAUAAGUCUGGUGAAUCCAGCAAUUUGAAAACCAAUGAUGAUGAUGAGGUACUCUGACUAAUCAAAAGGAGCGAGUUUAAUGUGGUAGAGCAGCUGCUCCAGACCCCCUCAAAAAUUUAAGUGUUGCCUCUGCUGAUGAAUUCUGAAGCGCACAGAGAAGCACUACAUAGAGUUCUCAAACAAGCGUUCGUGGAACAUGAUGUUAUAGUGGAUCAAUUUGAUCAUAUUGUGGCUAACAUCACUUCUUGCAACAAUCUCAGCUUUUGCGACGAAGAACUCCCUGAGAAGGGCAUAAACCAUAGUUUGGCUUUGUACAUCUCGAUGAAUUGCAAGGAAGAUGCUUUGUCAAACGUGCUUGUUGACACCGGGUCGUCACUGAAUAUGCUUCUGAAGUCAACUUUGUCGAAGCUAUCUUAUCAAGGAGCAUCCAUGAGGUAUAGCGGUGUAAUCGUCAAAGCUUUUGACGGUUCACGCAAGACAGUAAUUGGUGAAGUGGACCUUCUAGUCAAGAUAGGUCUGAGUGAUUUUCAUAUUACUUUUCAAGUAAUGGAUAUCCACCCAGCCUACAGUUGCUUAUUGGGAAGGCCAUGGAUUCAUGAGGCAGGAGCUGUUACUUCCACUUUACACCAGAAGCUCAAAUUUAUCAAGAAUGGCAAGCUAGUGAUUAUCGGUGGGGAGAAGGCGUUGUUGGUUAGCCACUUGUCAUCUUUCUCUUAUGUUGAGGCUGAGGAUGAGGUUGGAACUUCGUUCCAAGCCUUAUCUAUUGCUGCUGAGAAGAGAGUUGGGGCACUUAUGUCCUCAUUGAAAGAUGCUCAAAAUAUUGUUGAAGAAGGUACUGUUGAUCAGUGGGGGCGCAUGGUAGAGGUCCCCGACAAUAAGGGCAGAACUGGUUUGGGGUUCUAGAAAGGCUCAUCAACUGUUAGAUCUGAAGAUAUGCAACUUAGAUUCCGUAACGGAGGGUUCAUUCAUGGCAAUGAGCAACACUUAGUUGUUGUGCUAGAGUAUGACGAAGAGGAAGACUGCAUCAAUUUUAUGACGCAUGGAAAGGCUUGCAACAAUUUGACUGCUGUUGAUAUUCCUGUUAUUUUGCAUCAAUCUAAGUAAUUGCUUUUAUAUGUUUUAAAAACCUUCUCAUAUGCCUAAGGGAGAGGUGAACAUUGUUUGGGCAUUUUCAAAUUGAUCAUCAAUAAAAUUAAUUAUAUUCAUCCACAUCUAUGAUGUUUGUUUUUACUUUUUGCUUUAUUCUGAAAAUGGUAAUCACAAAAAAAUAUAAAUAAAUAAUAUAAUUGUCCAUCUGCAUGAUAUUUGGUCACAAUUUCACUUCUAUAAAAUCAAAAUAUUAAAUCAUUAUGCAGGUUGGUUCCUAACCCCAUUGAAUACAAUGAUCCUUCUCCUUCUCCAAAUUUUGAAUUCACUGUGUUUGAAGCCGAGGAGGAAAGUGAUGUAUAAGUGAGUGAUGAAUUAUCUCGUCUUCUUGAGCAAGAUGAAAAGACUAUUCAGCCGUUCGAAGAGAAGAUUGAGCUAGUCAACUUGGGUUCCGAGGAUGAUGUGAAGGAAGUCAAGAUUGGGUCUCGACUGUGUCCAGAUGUUAAGAAGGGGUUGAUUGAUCUUCUUUGAGAGUAUUCAGAUGUGCUUGCUUGGUCCUAUCAAGACAUGCCUGGGUUAGAUUUUGAGAUUGUGGAGCAUAGAUUAUCGUUGAAGCCAGAAUGCCCGCCAGUCAAGCAGAAGUUGAGAAGAACGCAUCCCGAUAUGGCUGUGAAGAUCAAAGAGGAAGUGAUAAAGCAGAUUGAUGUCGGUUUCCUUGUAACCGCUGAGUAUCCACAGUGGGUGGCCAAUAUUGUGCCUGUACCAAAGAAAGAUGGAAAAGUCCGCAUGUGUGUUGAUUAUAGAGAUUUGAAUAAACCCAGUCCGAAAGAUGAUUUCCCUCUGCCACACAUUGAUAUGUUGGUAGACAAUACUGCUAAAUUCAAAGUCUUUUCGUUUAUCGAUGGAUUUUCCGGAUAUAAUCAGAUCAAGAUGGCACCUAAAGAUAUGGAGAAGACCAUAUUCAUUACACCUUGGGGAACAUUCUGCUAUAGAGUGAUGCCUUUCGGUUUAAAGAAUGCUGGUGCAACUUACCAAAGGGCAAUGACUACUUUUUUUCAUGAUAUGAUGCAUAAAGAGAUUGAAGUUUAUGUCGAUGACAUGAUUGCUAAAUCGAUUGAUGAAGAGGAACAUGUUGAGCAUUUGUUGAAGUUAUUCCAGCGUUUGAGGAAGUAUAAACUUAUGUCGAUGACAUGAUUGCUAAAUCGAUUGAUGAAGAGGAACAUGUUGAGCAUUUGUUGAAGUUAUUCCAGCGUUUGAGGAAGUAUAAACUCCGCUUGAAUCCCAAUAAGUGUACUUUUGGUGUUCAUUCUGGUAAGUUGUUGGGAUUUAUUGUCAGCGAGAAGGGUAUUAAAGUUGAUCCUGCCAAGGUCAAAGCAAUACAAGAGAUGUCUGCGCCCAAAACUGAGAAGCAAGUCAGAGGUUUUCUCGGCCGCUUGAAUUAUAUUUCUAGAUUCAUUUCCCACAUGACUGCCACAUGUGCGCCUAUAUUCAAGCUUCUUCAGAAAGAUCAGUCUUGUGAUUGGGCCGAAGAUUUCCAGAAAGCUUUUGACAGUAUCAAGGAAUAUUUGCUUGAGCCUCCAAUUUUGUAUCCACCUGUUGAAGGAAGACCAUUGAUCAUGUAUUUGAUUGUGCUCGAAGAUAGUAUGGGUUGUGUUCUUGGUCAGCAAGACGAGACUGGAAAGAAAGAAUUUGCAAUUUACUACCUCAGUAAGAAGUUCACCAACUGUGAGACUCGGUAUUCGAUGCUUGAGAAUACUUGUUGCGCAUUGGCUUGGGCUGCUAAGCGUCUGUGCCAGUAUAUGUUGAAUCAUACCACUUGGUUGAUAUCCAAAAUGGAUCCGAUCAAGUAUAUAUUUGAGAAGCCUGCUUUAAUUGGGAGGAAUUCCCGUUGGCAGAUGUUGUUAUCAAAGUAUGAUAUCGAAUACCGAUCUCAGAAAGCAAUCAAAGGUAGUAUCUUGGCUGACCAUUUGGCUCACCAACCAAUUGAAGAUUACCAGUCAGUGCAGUAUGACUUUCCUGAUGAAGAGAUUUUGUACUUAAAAAUGAAGGAUUGUGAUGAACCAUUGCUUGAAGAAGGGCCAGAACCUGGUUCCCGUUGGGGCAUGGUGUUUGAUGGAGCUAUUAAUCAAUAUGGAAAUGGCAUUGGGGCAGUGAUUAUUACUCCUCAAGGCACGCACCUACAAUUUACAGCUAGAUUGACUUUCAAGUGUACAAACAACAUGGCAGAAUAUGAAGCUUGCAUUAUGGGGCUUGAAGAGGCCAUGAAUCUCAGAAUCAAGUAUUUGGAUGUCUUCGGUGAUUCGGAUUUGGUUGUGAAUCAAAUCAAAGGAGUAGAAUAUGAAGCUUGCAUUAUGGGGCUUGAAGAGGCCAUGAAUCUCAGAAUCAAGUAUUUGGAUGUCUUCGGUGAUUCGGAUUUGGUUGUGAAUCAAAUCAAAGGAGAAUGGGAGACAAAUCAACCCUGUUUAAUACCAUAUAGAGAUUAUGCGAGGAGGAUUUCAACUUUCUUUACAAAGGUUGAGUUUCAUCAUAUUCCUCGAGAUGAAAAACGGAUGGCAGAUGCUCUUGCAACGUUGGCAUCAAUGAUUGUAGUGAAGUAUUGGAAUGAGGUUCCUAAUUUGUCUGAGAUGCAUCUUGAUAGGCCAACUCAUGUAUUUUCUAUUGAAGAUAUCAAAGACGAGAAGCCAUGGUAUUACGACAUCAAAUGUUUCCUCCAAAGUCAGAUUUACCCACCUGGGGCAUCUUUGAAAGAUAAGAAGACUUUGAGGAGAUUAACCGGUAAUUUCUACUUGAAUGGUGAUGUACUAUACAAGAGAAACUUCGACAUGGUUUUGCUCAGAUGCGCGGAUAGACACGAAGCAGACUUGUUGAUGACUGAAGUGCAUGAAGGUUCCUUUGGUACUCAUUCCAAUGGACAUGCAAUGGCAAAGAAAAUGUUGCGAGCAGGUUACUAUUGGCUGACAAUGGAAUCUGACUGUUGCAAAUUUUCUUUGGUACUCAUUCCAAUGGACAUGCAAUGGCAAAGAAAAUGUUGCGAGCAGGUUACUAUUGGCUGACAAUGGAAUCUGACUGUUGCAAAUUUGUGAAGAAAUGCCACAAGUGUCAAAUUUAUGCUAAUAAGAUUCAUGUUCCUCUGACACUAUUGAAUGUUAUCUCUUCCCUAUGGCCCUUCUCCAUGUCGAGAAUUGAUAUGAUUGGGAUGAUCUAGCCGAAAGUUUCGAAUGGACAUCGUUUCAUUUUGGUGGCAAUUGACUACUUCACAAAAUGGGUUGAAGCGGCAUCAUAUGCAAAUGUAACCAUGCAAGUGGUUGUGAGGUUUAUCAAGAAUCAGAGUAUAUGCCGUUAUGGUGUGCCAAGCAAGAUCAUUACUGAUAAUGGAUCGAACUUGAAUAAUAAAAUGGUGGAAGCUCUUUGCAAAGACUUCAAGAUUGCAUAUCAUAAUUCUUCUCCCUACAGACCUAAGAUGAAUGAGGUUGUUGAAGCUGCAAACAAGAACAUUGAGAAGAUUAUUCAGAAGAUGGUUGUCACAUACAAAGAUUGGCAUGAGAUGCUCCCAUUUGCUUUGCUGGGUAUCGUACAUCCAUCCGCACUUCAAUAGGGGCAACCCCUUUCUCUCUUGUUUAUGGUAUGGAAGUAGUGCUCCCCGUAGAGGUUGAGAUUCCUUCAUUGUGUGUGCUUAUGGAAGCCAAGUUGACUAAGGCUGAAUGGUUUCAGACCAGGUUUGACCAGUUGAAUUGAAUUGAAGAGAAAAGGUUAAUUGCCAUGUGUCAUGGUCAGUUAUACCAGCAGAGAAUGAAGAAAGCGUUUGAUAAGAAGGUCAGACCUCGUGUGUUCAGAGAAGGUGACCUUGUGCUCAAGAAGAUUUUGACGUUUAAACCAAAUUCUAGGGGAAAAUGGACUCCUAAUUAUGAAGGCUCAUAUGUUGUUAAGAGAGCCUUUUCAAGCGGUGCAUUCAUACUUACAACUAUGAAUGGUGAAUAGUUCACUCGUCCUGUGAACGCAGAUGCAAUCAAGAAAUACUUCGCCUAAAAAAUAAAAUAAAAGCUCGCUAAGUUGAAAACCCGAAAGGGCGGCUUAGGCAAAAAUGAGCGUCUCGGUGGAUUGUAAACCUGAAAGAGCGAUCCAGGAAAAAAUUAGAGACAUAAAACAAAAAAAAUCCCGAUAAGUUGAAUACCCCACCUUGGGCAACUUAUGCAAAAAUUAGGGAUUAUGGCAAGUAACUGCAUUCUGCUGAUCUUCAAGGUUUUGAAGAUUUAAUUAAGCACAAGGGUUGACAUCGAUUCAUCACCCCAGUAGCGGUAAAGAGCGCAGUGGAUAUCAAGAGUUAGUAGAAGGAUUAAGGAUCAUUUGUAUUCAAUGUAACCCUUUUCCAUGUAAAUUACCAUUUUCAACUUUGUAAAAAUCUAUGGAGUCUUGUCAUUUACAGACUACCAUUCUAUCAAAUAGAGUUGAGCUUUUAUCCAAUUAUUUCUACUCUUAUUUACUUCUGCCAAUAGUUUUAAAUUUUAUUAUGAUCAUUUUGAAAAAUAAAUUUUUAAUCAAAAUCAGUUUUUCGUAAAUAUAUAAAAGCAAGAAUUUUUCAAAGCAACAAAAGGAAUAUCAGCAGCAUUUUAAUGGAUAGCAGGUCCUUAAGUGCAAAACAUUAGAGGUUCCUCAAGAAAUUAACCCUUUGGGUAUCCCUGGACGUUUGUGUUGAUUCAGUUCCUCGGCGGAGUGUUUGUUCCCCCAGUAGAGCUUCAUUCUGUUUCCCCAGCUCAGUUGGUUGAUUCAGAUACCUUGCGGUGUGUUAUUUUCCCCGACAGAGUUUCUGCCUUCCCCGACGGAGUUUGUGUUUCCUCAGCAGGGUUGAUUUUCAGCAGAUAUGGUUGACUUCCCUAGUAGAUUGCAUUGGUUUCCCCGCUGAUCGCCAGUCGAUUUGCUCCCCAGUCAGAGUUUCCUCCUGGCUUCUGAGCAGUUUAUAUUUCCCUGUAGGGUUGUCUCCCAUUUUUAUGGUGUUGACCUAAAAUUCCCCACAGGCUCGGGGAUGUUUUCUCUUUCCUCAGCAGAUCUCCUUCUUCCCCAGUUGGGGUUGAGCCUUUUUGGAUUGUUGAUCUCUUUGUUCUCCAGCAGUUGUCUCCAUAUUUUGUGGGUUGACCAGGAUUGUACCGAUGAUUCAAAUUUCUUCACGAUACCUUUGUAUCCUUUGUGAUCGUCUUUGUCAGCAUAAUCAUCAUAUAUACAUAUACAUACACAUUCAUAUAAUUUCAUGGUUUGCAUGAUUCAUUUGAGAUUAUUACUCUUUGCUAUGGCGGUACUCUAUCCCCAUACAAAUAUGGUGUCUGUCCUCCUUCAAUUGUAGAGUGUCAGCCCCUUAAGUAGAAAGACUUUAACCUUUCUCCUUUUCCCCACUGAGUUUGUCUCCUCGUGGAUGAUUAUUAUUUCAGUUUUCUCCCCAGUUAAUUAUUUGGAUGGAAUCACUCCCCUUGGGUUAUGUCCUCAAUGGGUUGAGUCUUUAUUGACCGUUUCUUUCUAGUUUUUACCUAGAUAGAUGCUCCGAUUCUCCUAAGAGUUUAUUGCCCAGUAACUGUUAAUAUUCUUCUUAGUUUGCAGUUUGCUACUUUUUGCCCAAUACCCGGUGAAAUUACCCCAGCUUUCCCAACAGUAGAGUCCCCAGUGGAUCUGAUUCCCCAGGAAGUAUAUCCUUGAUAUGUUCAUCCUAACCGGUGACGGAUAUCUUUCUCUCCCCUGCUUGAGUCUAUCCUUGAUAUGUUCAUUCUAACCGAUGACGGAUAUUCUCUUCUUGGUAUUCUACCCAGUAAAAAGGUAGUUGUAAUCCCUAUUUUUGUUCCCCAAAGAGUUAAUCCUUGAUAUGUUAAUCCUAACUUAUGAUGGGUUUCCUUCUCUUUGCGGUAUUCUACCCAGUAACCGGUAGUUGUAAAUCCUGCUUUUUUGUCCCCUUCGCAGAGUUGAUCCUUGAUAUGUUCACUUUAACUGGUGACGGAUUCUCUCUCUUGGUAUUCUAUCCAGUAACUGAUAGAUGUAAUUCCUAUUUUAUCUCCUCACAGAGUCUAUCCUUGAUAUGUUCAUCUUAACCGGUGACGGAUUUUCUCUUUGACGGUAUUCUAUCCAGCAUUUUGGUAUUCUAUCCAGUAACUGAUAGAUGUAAUUCCUAUUUUAUCUCCUCACAGAGUCUAUCCUUGAUAUGUUCAUCUUAACCGGUGACGGAUUUUCUCUUUGACGGUAUUCUAUCCAGCAUUCGAUAUAUGUAAUUCCUACCUUUUUGUUCAGUUGGUUUAUCCUUGAUGUGUUCAUCUUAACUGAUGACGGAUAUCCUCCUUGGCAAUCCCAGGCAAGUUUAUCCUUAAUAUGUUCAUCCUAACCGAUGACGGAUUUUCUUCCCUAUUGAGUUUAUCCUUGAUAUGUCCAUCCUAACCGAUGACGGAUGCUCUCACCCUUGGUCUUCUGCCCAGUAACUGGUAGUUAUAAAUCCUAUUUUUUUGCAUUUUUCCCCAGCAAGGCUAUUCUUACCCAGUAAUCGGUAAUGAAUACUCUCUCCUAGAAUCCUCAUCGAGUCAUCCUUGAUGUGUUCAUCCUAACCGGUGACAGAUGUCCUCUCUGUCAGAUCUUUAUUAUCUCCUUACCCAGUAACAGGUAGUAGAUAAUAGAUUUCUGAUCCUCCUGUGUUGAAGUUUAUUUCUUCCCCAAUUGAGUUGAGUGUGCAUUUCCUUAGAGAAAUCAUUUUCCCUGCAUGAUUCAAGUACUUCAGUUCUAUCCUAACUUACUUGUAUCCCCUGCAGAAGUUUUUAGUUCCUCGGCUGAGUCUUUUCCAUAUUUGUAUGGAAUCCCUCGAGUCCCCCAGUUAGUUUUAAGUCGUAGCCUGACCUACGCAUAACUCCUUUUUAUCCCCUCAUAGUCUUUGUCUCCCCAAUGAGUUUUCCUUACGGAAUGCAUUAUACUCCUGCGGACUUUCAGUCCCUCUGAUUUCUUUUCCUUUGUGGCAGUAUUUCCCCACAAAGCAUUAACUUUUACAUUCAUAUCAUAUGCAUCAUGAGGUCUCUUAGGGACCAAAAUUUGUUUCUAUAUGUUGUAAUUUAAGCCCAUUCUACUGAGACGACAUGAAGAUUUUAGCCUUCGCCUCCUCAGUUAGAAUGUCCUUAAAUAGGGGUAGCUGUAAGACCCCAAUUUUGACCCUAAGAUCCCUCAUGCAAUUCCAUCAUAUGCAUUAGCAUUGGGAUCAUACUUUGGCAUCCUCCUUACCCCUUUUUCAUUGGGUUUGUUUUGGGAGAGAUCACCAAGCACUAUGUGAUUGUAUCAUACUUGUAUUUUAUCAUUUCACUAACCAAAAUACCAAAAAUAUGUCUUUGCAUUGCCUAACUCUUUUGUAAGUCAGGAUGAUCCUCCAUUGAUCUAUCAAGUUCACAUCUAGGUUUGAGACCCUCAUGACAAAGAACACACCAUGGAUUGAUUCAAGGAUAGUCAUAAAAUUCAUAUAUGAGUCCCAAAUGAUCUCUACAUGUUGAUCAAGUUUUCUUCAAGAGUUUGAGGGUGAUUUGCCUUGGAAACCCUAGUUUGACUGGGUAUCUUGAGUAACUUCUCCAACAAGCUAUCUCACCAAUUGAUAAAAUUUAUCAAGGUACACUUCAAAAUUCAUCAUCUUAUGCAUAUAUUAUCUACCAUGAGCCUAGAAAGUCAAGAGAAUUGAAGAUUAGCAAGUUGGUUGAUGGUGGUUGGCCAGAUGAAUUCAUCUGAUCAAAACUGGGUCUCCCUAGACCCUAUCUCCUACAAAUUUCACCAUAUGAAAAUUAUUCCAAGAGAAACUUACUCUAAAUGACAUUGCAAACAACUUUCAUUUUGAUACCUAGAGCUAUUUUUGCUUGGAAAAUCAUUUUCUAUGUUGAAACAUUAUAGGUCAUUUUGUCUAAACCCUAAUUUGAAAGUCAAAUUCCCAAGGCCAUAACUUGCUCAAUUUUUAUGAUAUGAAAUAUUUCCAAGUUGCAAAAUAAAAUUCAAUAUGUCUAAUUCAACUUUUAUGUUUGGAGUGAGAGUUGAUUCAACUUUUAUGAGCAUGUGAUAUGAGGUUACAUUAUAGGUCACUUUUGACCUAUACCAUUGAUCAAGUGAUUUUUCCAAACUUCAAAAAUGCAUAACUCUAUCAUUUCAAAUCCAAAUGACAUUAAAUAGGUGACCAUUUAUGAAGACACUUUUCUCAUUUGAAGCUCACAUAAAAAGUUAAGCAAGGUGGAAUAUUGGGACAUAUGGCUUGACACUUCGAAAAAAUUUCAAUAUGUUAAAAUUUCCAAACUUCCACCUCAAAAUUCUUCAAGUUCCAAGCUCCAAAUGGAAAAGUUUUGAACAUGAAAGUUGUUCCUCUUGAUCUAACCUUUCCAAAAAGCUCAAAUUUAUCCAUUUUGGACAAGAAAUGAAUAGGCUGCACAUGGUAUCAUCAUUUGGCAAGAUUGAACUUCAAACAUCCAUGCACAAUUGCCUAGCAUUCCAACAUGACUUCAGCAUUGCUUACACUCAAUUAUGGAUCAGAUAGAGUGAUUUCAUGGGCCUGCACACGCCCAUGCACUCAAGAAUCACACAUUGCUAAUUUUGGAAGCUCAUUUCAAGUGUGCAAAUAUCAACUGAAUUGGCUAUAAAUAGAGCUCCAUGUGCUCAGAAUUUCACAGACAUUCGCGCCAGCUUUGAUCCCAAACCUCUAACCCUCUCAUUUCGAAGGAUAAUCCUGAGAAUUUCACUUGAAAUUAAGUUUGAAUUCUCACUAUUUUGAGAUUCAAAACUCCAGGGAUCCAAGACCUUUUGAGAAUUCAAUUCUUCUUCUGCAAGCAUUUGGAGUGAGAUCAAGCACGAGCCAAGGCAAGAAUAGCUGAAUCCAGACCUACAUUAAAGGUAUUUUCCAGAAAUUUUAAUCUCUUCGAUUCUCUCUUAAUCUUGCUCAAUUAUCUUAAUUCUUUGGUUGUCUGAAGUCCUACCAAUGUAGGCAAGAAUAUUGAGUUGCUUUGAGGCCAAAUCGAAGCAACUCAGUUCAUGUACCUCAAAUUUCAACUCCAUGUAUCUCUCGAUAUACUUGGAGUUAGGAUGAAUUGAGGUCAGUUUCGUGCUCUACGCCAUUUUUUCUUUGAGAUCAUAUCCUCCUUUUUUAUUCUGGUGAUGGUUGAAGGUGGACCAGUCCGGUGAGGUCCACCGGAGAAGAAGACCGGAGCUACAGCUCCGGCGAUGUGUUGGCAUCUCUCACAACCAUAGGAUCCAGCUGAAAUGAUUUAAUCACAAGCGUACAUGUUGAUUACCACGUGUGUGGACAAUUGACUCAAGUGCAUGGUGAACCGCGUGCGCUCAACCACUUGAUCUGCCACCUCAAUUAAUGAGGCGGAUCAAGUGGUCCACGUUUUUCUGAUUUUCUGUUUUUUAUUUUAAUUCCUUUGAUUUUCAUUAAUUCAUAUUAGUUUUAAUAUUGAUCCAAAAAAUAUGAGAGUUUCACCAAAAAAUUUCAAAUAUUUUCCUCUUUCAUAUUCUGAAUUAAAAUUAUUUUUUGGAUCAUUAUUUAUAUUUUUCAUGAUUUAAUUGAUUCUUCAUUUGUUUUUAAUUGUUUAAAAAUACUUGAGUCUUUAAAAAAUCUGAAAUUUUUUCUCCAAGGUCCUUUGAUCUUGUUUGACCUAUGAUAAAUAUCAUGGCCAUUUAUUUGGUGUUUUGAUGAGGUUUUAGGAAUUGACAAACCAUAUUUAAUUUAAAUGCCUUAUUUUAGUAUUUUUUUAAUUUGAUUAAAUGCCAAAUAAUUUGUUGACCAAUUGUGAUGACUUGUUGGUGUUUGACUAUUGUUGUUGGGCCUUGGUCAAGGUUGAUUUGACUUUGUUAAAUUAAUAUCAUUGGAUUUAGGGGAUUGAUGGAAUGUACAUUCCAUCUCCCAAAAUGAAUGGAUGAUAUUAAUUUGGUAAAAGUCCUUGGUUGAUUUGACUUUGUUAAAUUAAUAUCAUUGGAUUUAGGGGAUUGAUGGAAUGUACAUUCCAUCUCCCAAAAUGAAUGGAUGAUAUUAAUUUGGUAAAAGUCCUCCUUUGACCAAUUUGUGUUUUUAUCCAUUCCCCUCCCACUUCAUUUUAUUCCCCUUCUUCAUUCAUCCAUUCCAUUUGGCCUAUGAUAUCUCAAAAUCCUAAGGCUAGUUGAUUGAAAAAUUAACAUAAGUAUGGAUGAGAUUAGACCACACCUUUUGCAUAUCCUUUUUUGUGUGUGGUAGGUUUCAUGAGAAUAGUCUAUUAUACUAUUUCUCUAACAUGCAUUAACACCAAAAUUCUAUUGCCCGACCCCAAAUAGUUGUGACUUCUACAUAAGUCCAAUUACGAUUGCUUAACAUAGCGCUAAAUUUGUGACACAAAAGGCAUAAGCGUUCUAGUUAGUGAGAUUGUAAGUCUACCCUCCUUCAUGGUAUUGUGUGGAAACUUGGCCAUUUUUUCCUUCCUUUGGAAGAUGUCUUGGUUCAAGGAUCCAUGCUUGUGAUAAGUGGGUUGAGGGUUCUCCAAAGAAUAUCUUAAAAUGAAAAGUAAAAGCAAAACAAUAGUAACUUCUAACCUUUUAACUACUAACUUUUAAUUUCAAGCCCUUUACUUUAAUGCCAUUUAAUUCUAGCUUUUAUACAUUUGUCAUUGUUCAUAUCAUUCUAAUUGUUUAUGUUAAUGCAAUUUUCACUUUGUCCACUUGGACCAUAUUGUGUGAUAUAUUUUGUUUGCGUAUACUUUGCUUGUUUGUGUGGUCUUUGACCAUUAAUGUACAUAAUAACAACAAAAACCCUAAAAAACUUUUUGUGUGGACUGUUGGCUUGAUCUUGGACAAAUGGACUUAGAAUCUAGGCAACCUUCCUAUGCUAAAGGAAUUGGCCAAUGCCAACUUAUUGAGAAACCAAGUGCUUGCAAUUUGAAAACUUCAUUUGAUACAUCAUUCAAGAUCUCUCUGAGUUCAUCUAUAACAUGAUCAUUGUGAAGUUGUUAUUUUGAACCUGUAACUUGUGAAAUUCAUCUGUUACAUGGGCUAUUUUGAGGAAGAUCAUGGAAUGGAUAAGCUUGGAUGUGGCCAUCUUUAUUUUAUGUCUUUGCUCUUCAAGAUUAAUAUAAUUGUGCAUUUGUGUGUUGCUUGAUUUUGAAAGUCCAAGGGAAUUCUGGGUUUCUAUUGACAUUCUUGUCUAUUGGAUUGCUACCCAUUUGGUCAGAUCUUUUCAACUCUAAACUUUUAAUUUUGUACAUAGGAUAGUCUCUUCAUCUUUUCCCCAUUUCUUUAAUUUCAAAAAUAUCUCCCUCCUUUUUCAAAACCUUCUUGGAUUGAACUUAUUUUGUUCUCAACUUUGACCAUUUUUGCAAAAGAUAGAAACUUUGGUCUUAUGCCAUUGCAUUUUCAAAAUUCUUUUCUAAAUCAAACUUGUAAAUAAACUUAACUAUACUUGACUUAAACUUUCAAUAAAAAGCCAAAAAGAACUAACUUAUUCAAACCCUUUUUAGGCCUUUGUGCCUUUCAAACUUAACUUUUGUUAAAAGCAGUUCAUUCACUUUGAAAUUUGUAUCACGAACUACGAGUUUUUGAUCCCUCAUUUUUAUGUCGGUACGUAGGCACAAGACCGAAGGUCUUGUCAAACACAAAAAUAUAAUUAAUUGAAUUCUUUUCUCCCCCCCCCCCCCACACACACACACAUUCUAUUUUGUUUGUAAACAUCACUUUAUACCAAGUACAUACAAAAAGGGCUCCCUAGGAGUAACCUAGCACACUUUGGUGCUAACACCUCCUCUUGUUAACACCCCCCUUACCUGUAUUCGCUUUUCUAGUUUUGAUUUGAAAACUUCUUACUUUUGGGUUUUGUUCGUACUUUUUCCCUUUUCCCUUGGAAACAAUAAAAGCGCGGUGGCGACUCUUGUUAUUUGAUCUCUAGCUUAUCCAUAGCUUGAUGAUCAUGAAUUUACCGUUACAGCUGCUUCAUUAAUAUGAAGAGUCUCAUUCCAAUUUCUUUUGAGAUACUGCUCUAGUAUCCUCUAAGAGUCUUAGAUUCAAUUGAGGUAUCAUUCCCUUGUUCGGAAUAUCUUAAUUCUAUCAUAUAAGUUGCUGCUUCGUUUUGAUACAGAGAAUCUCAUUUUUGCUGUUGCUUCAUGAAUAUGAAGAGUCUCAUUCCAAUUUCUUUUGAGAUACUGCUCUAGUAUCCUCGAAGAGUCUUAGAUUCAAUUGAGGUAUCAUUCCCUUGUUCGAAAUAUCUUAAUUUUAUCAUAUAAGAUGCUGCUUCGUUUUGAUACAGAGAAUCUCAUUCUUGCUACUACUUCAUCAAUAUGAAGAGUCUCAUUCUAAUCAUUUCUUUUGAGAUACCGCUCUAGUAUCCUCGAAGAGUGUUAGAUUCAAUUAAGGUAUCAUUCCCUUAUUCGGAAUAUCUUAAUUCUAUCAUAUAAGAUGUUGCUUCGAUUCGAUACAGAGAAUCUUGUUUUUUGCUGUUUUAGAUACUAUUUCAUUAAUUUGAGGAGUCUCAUUUGUUUUAAAGGUGCUGAUUCGCUUGAACUUCAGAGAAUAUUGUGUGACCGUUUCUAGACACUGUUCUGCUAAGUGUCAGAUAUAGUUGAGGUAUCAUUCCAUUGAUGGAAUAUCUCAAUCAUAAUUAUCCAAGAUAUUAUUCUAAAGAUUCCCAUAAAGUCUUGAUUAUUUCUUCUACCUUACAAUAAAUCCUCAUACCGCAUUUCUCACUACAUUCCUCUUUAUGCAUUUAUUCAUUGAGUUUCAAAGGACAAAAUUUGGGUCUUCUUGUAUUUUAUUAUCUUUCACCGAAUGUAUGAAGACUAUUGUCAUUCUUACUUUCUAGUUCACAGUAAUUAAAUAGGGGCAGCUGUCAUACCCCGUUUUUGUCCGGGAAAUUUUCAAAAAAAACUUUCGUUAGUAUCCAUAACAGGAGGGAACGAUGUACAGAGUCAGAAUUUGUGGGUCUUAUCAGGAGUUUUCUUUGUUACUACCUUAGCUUAUGAAGCAAAGCCCUGAUCUAAGGGGGCCCUUACCUGACUCUCCAUUGCUCCUGGCGAUUGGUUUCUCCUGCUUGAUCAAGAGUUCACUCAACAUUCAUUUAGUCAUAACUCUUAGUUCUGAUCUAGACUUUUGAUUCUGAUUGGUUGCAUUUUCUAUGAAGUACGUACUAAAAGAUCGAAGAUUCAUUUAACCUAUCUGGCUUGUUAAGGUUGGUUCAUAAGCCUGAUAGGUCCAUAGUUUUGUUUCUUUGAUGAGGGUUUAUUUAAGGCAUCACAUGUCCUUGAUUCAUUACUUGUUUGGGAUUAUCGUUGGCACAAAGUCACGGGAUUGGUGGUCCAUUCAAGAUUAUAGCUUGGGGCAGUAGCCAUGUUCAUAUGAUUAGUUCGAGCCAGGGUCAAAAUUAUCAUACACCUAGUCAAGGCCAAAUGUUUAUUUCACUUUCCAAAAGCCACCAUUAACCCAUACUCAAACUACAAGUUAUUCUCCAAUUCUUAAAAAGGGAGAGGUUUGAGCCAUUUAUCCAUGGCAUUUAAAAAGAACUUGAUGUUCCAAGGUUCGUUGUGUUCUACAGGGGGACUUUUAUUCCAUUUUUUGUCACGAAAAAUGGUUAUGGACACAAGGGUCGUUGCUUAUGGCCUAUGUGUGAUUCGGUUAGCUAAAACUUCAGCAGGAAAAAGAAAAAAGAGGUCUCAAUUAUCCAAAGGAAUAUUACAAAAGUCCAUUAAACCAAGUUACAUUACAAAACUGCAAGAUAACGACAAUAAUAACAGAAGCUGGCAAAACAAUCCUCCUGAUAAAAGUCUUUGUUCUCAGUGUUGAGGCUGCCAGAGGAAAGUAGACUUCCGGUAAACAUCGCGACGCACUAGCUGGUAUAGCCAUAUCAUACGCUCACCGACGUUGAGAAGAAGGUUUUGCUCAAAAAGUACAAUGUCCGAAAUGCAGCUUCCUAGAAUCUGGAUGACGGAUCCUAUUGCAAAAGCAUCAUGGAUUAAAGAGUGGACAAGUUGACGGGAUUAUCCGGCCAAGUGAAAGUACUAGCAGAUGCAUAACCUACAAGACUAGAUCCAAACCAUUAGCAAGUUUUAUUACGGAAUUAUAUCCAUAAAUCUAAUAGCACUACUCGUGGAUAUUGGUUUGUUACAAGCAAGAAUUGAUGAUGUACAAGAUAAUCCAUAAAUCCUAAUAACAUCACAAUUGGUUUGGAGAGUUUCUUAUUUUAAAUUAGUAUCAACACACAACAAAUCGAGAUGCAAAUACGUGAUUGAGCAUGGUCAAAUGACUCGAUAACAUAACUCAAGUCGCUACACAUUACCAACAAAAGUGGCCCGAUGAAGACGAAGGUUGAACAUAGCAAGUUGUGCCGGUUGUAAAACAGAAACCUGCAGCGUAACGAUCACGGAGAGGAUAUUUCGAAAAGUUUAGGAUGCUACCACAACCUGUGAAGGGUUGGACCUGCAAAUCAUCAAAACCUACGGUUCAUUAACUAUCAUCACUACCUGAAGUGUUAAACAAAAACUAAGAGGCAUGAUACAAAUCCAGCCAUUCAGAUGCUAAAUCCCCACACCAAUUCUAUCAUCAAGGCGUAGAGGGGAAAAAUCUGGCACAUCAAACAUUGCACGAUUCGACCACACUCAUAUCUAUAUCUACAAAAUGUUCUCCACGGCAAGACUAUAACAACUGUGGCACCUCAGGUCGUAUGAUUGUCGCAAGAGUGUGUCACAUCCAAGGUCCUACAAAAGCAAAUAAGUUCGAUUAACAAGCAACCAACACAAUCCAGAAAAUUACUAUUGACUACCCUUCAUCACAAACGAAUGACAACCAAAUCGUUAUGUACUCAUAUCCCUAAGCUGCAAGGAUCACUGCAUUAAUGCAGGAUAAACUGUUAAGUCAUCUUAUCAGUAAAAGCCAAAAUAACUUAGACUAAGAGUUGAAAUAUAUGUAACUGUAAAAAAAUCAAACUUCUACCACAACAAACGCACAUUUACUGCAGUAAAACCUUAAUAAAGGAGUCAACAAAAAUAAGCCACAUCUUUGGAGGAUUAUGCUACAGACAAAAUAGAUUGGCUCUAAACAAAAAAACAAAUCAAAGGUUUGUGAUCGGUCCCCAAAAAAAAUCUGAGGGAAAAAUUCUCUCUAACGGAUUGAUCCUAUCCAAGAUUUUCCAAAUCAUGAAAGAUAAAGACGGAAGAGCCUCGUACAAAGACUCUAUAUAAAGACCAUUUGAUCAUUGAAGCGGGGAUCCUUUCGCCAAGCAUCGUUACCUUGCCGAAAUCUCGUACCGACCCAUACCCAAAGCUCAAAAUACAAAAGGUGACUCAGAGUUUAUCCCUAAAACUCUGAGUAAGCCAAGCUAAGCCAUUACUAAACCAAGGCACGCACCAGAUCGGUAAAGAGGAACAGAAACGGAGAGGAUUCGAAGUACACAAAGCAAAGAGGAUCACUUACCAGGUAUACUCGCGGCCAAUGGAUAUGCGUCAAUAGUUGUGCGAAUCAUCUUCUCUGUUUGUUUCAAACGUCAUAGCAUUUGCAUAGAUUUGUUGCUUCUGUUUUGAUUUGUCAAUUUCUUGGUUAUUGGUGGUGGAUAUAAAAAGUGGCAUUAGAAGCUUUUAUACCUUGGUUACCUGAACCUCACAUCCGUUACGGCGAGAAUAGGGUGCGGAGGAAUCGGAUCGGGAUUUAGAAAUAGGAUAGGCUGGCAUUCGAUGUUGUUUUGGGAAUUAGGUAGUUGAAUUUUUGUGAAUCGAAGGUUGCGUAAGGGUGAACACCGAAGAGUGGGGUUCAUCGCCUUCUUUCUUCUUUUUGCUUUCUUAUUUUUUUUAGCUUAAAAGUUCAGGGUGUGUGUUUAAGGUGGAAGGAAGGAUCCGUUACAAUGCAUAUGUUGAUUUAAGUAGAGUUUUUUUUAUUCCCCAUAAAGUCCAUUAAAUUUGGUUAUUGGAUUUAUAAGACCUGGGUUGGACAAAGCAUGUACAGUUUAUCUUUUCAAAGUUUAGCUUUAUUGGCAUUAACGUUGUUUUAAUGGCCAACAGUGGAGAAUCCAAAAAGGGUCAUGUGAUCCUUUCUGAUGUUCCAUUGUAUGACUUUCCCUUGCCUUGCCACGUG